GACGAACGCUGGCGGCGUGCUUAACACAUGCAAGUCGAACGGAAAGGCCCUGCUUUUGUGGGGUGCUCGAGUGGCGAACGGAUGAGUAACACGUGAGUAACCUGCCCUUGACUUUGGGAUAACUUCAGGAAACUGGGGCUAAUACCGGAUAGGAGCUCCUGCUGCAUGGUGGGGGUUGGAAAGUUUCGGCGGUUGGGGAUGGACUCGCGGCUUAUCAGCUUGUUGGUGGGGUAGUGGCUUACCAAGGCUUUGACGGGUAGCCGGCCUGAGAGGGUGACCGGCCACAUUGGGACUGAGAUACGGCCCAGACUCCUACGGGAGGCAGCAGUGGGGAAUAUUGCACAAUGGGCGGAAGCCUGAUGCAGCAACGCCGCGUGCGGGAUGACGGCCUUCGGGUUGUAAACCGCUUUCGCCUGUGACGAAGCGUGAGUGACGGUAAUGGGUAAAGAAGCACCGGCGAACUACG
Molecule: ribosomal RNA, 466 nt
Filed under: uncultured bacterium
Lineage: Bacteria
Description: partial 16S ribosomal RNA
Rfam family: Bacterial small subunit ribosomal RNA
Source: RNAcentral